AUGGCUCAGGAUGAACGCUGGCGGCGUGCCUAACACAUGCAAGUCGAACGAAGCACUUCUGAUCGGAGAUCGUCGAAGAUUGGAUUGACUUAGUGGCGGACGGGUGAGUAAUGUAUGAGCAACCUGCCUUCAGAGGGGGACAACAGUUGGAAACGACUGCUAAUACCGCAUAAUGUAUUGAGACGGCAUCGUCAUGAUACCAAAGGAGCAAUCCGCUGAAAGAUGGGCUCAUAUCUGAUUAGUUAGUUGGCAGGGUAACGGCCUACCAAGACUGCGAUCAGUAGCCGGACUGAGAGGUUGAACGGCCACAUUGGGACUGAGAUACGGCCCAGACUCCUACGGGAGGCAGCAGUGGGGAAUAUUGGGCAAUGGGCGAAAGCCUCGACCCAGCAACGCCGCGUGAAGGAAGAAGGUCUUCGGAUUGUAAACUUCUUUUAUGAGGGACGAAGGACGUGACGGUACCUCAUGAAUAAGCCACGGCUAACUACGUGCCAGCCGCCGC
This 502-nucleotide ribosomal RNA is filed under the name uncultured bacterium. Its description in RNAcentral is "bacterial SSU rRNA". It matches the Rfam family "Bacterial small subunit ribosomal RNA", at positions 19 to 518 of the family's 1533-position model. The record is from RNAcentral.